AAAUUUUAAUCAUUUUAAUUUUAAUUUUGCGGGGACAAUUGAAAUUUUCUGUCCGUAGAGUAGUCAUUUUGUUUCCCGUCGAAGGAUUUCGAUCUCGCCGGCGAUCUGCCGCGAAAAUCCUACGACCGCCGUCGGACUAUGAUGAAGCCACGAUAGCGCCCAGAUCUGCAGUUGCCGAUCCAUAGUCGAAGCCGAUUUCUGGACACCGGUUUCUAGUUUCUUCUCAAUUUGGAUGCUGUAUUGAGAUUUCUAGGGUUUUUGUUCGGCUGUAAUGGCGACGAGGAGCCGUACACUGCUGUUCAGGAAAUAUAGGGAUUCUCUGAGGAGUGUCCGUGGUCCGGUGGGAUCAUCUUCGUCAUCAACGGCGACAGAGAAGAAUUCAUUGACGGGAAAGCGAUCCGGUGUAGGCCCGGUGAUUGAGAUGGCGAGUACAUCUCUCCUGAAUCCGAAUCGCUCCUAUGCUCCAGUUAGUACUGAGGAUCCUGGGAAUUCCAGAGGGGCAUUGACAGUGGGAUUGCCACCAGCUUGGGUUGAUGUCUCUGAGGAGAUUGCUGUGAACAUACAGCGUGCGAGGACAAGAAUCGUUGAGUUGGGAAAGGCUCAUGCUAAGGCGUUAAUGCCUUCUUUCGGGGAUGGUAAAGAAGAUCAACAUAAAAUUGAGUCUUUGACACAAGAGGUAACUAAUCUAUUGAGGAAAUCGGAGAAGCAACUGCAGAGGCUUUCUUCAGCUGGACCUUCUGAAGAUUCUAAUGUCCGGAAAAACGUGCAGCGAUCUCUUGCUACUGAUCUUCAAAAUCUUUCUAUGGAAUUCCGAAAGAAACAGUCAACGUAUUUGAAACGCUUGAGACAACAAAAAGAGGACGGUGUGGAUUUAGAGAUGAAUCUAAAUGGAAGCAAAUCUAGAGAAGAAGAAGACGAGUUUGACGAUAUGUUAUUCACUGAUCGUCAAAUGGCGAAGAUAAAAAAGAGUGAAGAACUCUCAGUAGAGAGGGAGAAAGAGAUCCAACAGGUUGUAGAAUCAGUGAAUGAGCUCGCUCAGAUAAUGAAGGAUCUCUCUGUACUCGUGAUAGACCAGGUAGGGUACCUGACUUUUUCGGCUUACCCGAUCUCGGCCUCAACUUCUCGGGUUUCUAUGUCGAGUCACCUGACCUUGGUCUUGUGACGGUCGGAUACCCGAGCUUCAAGCACCUACCUGUGGGGUGCGGCAAAGUGCUUGGGUACCCACAGGAUAUCUGGCCAGAAGGUGAGGGAUGUGAGACGGUUGUCGAAGUUCAGGUGAGGUGGCGAGGAGAGAGAGUGAGGGUGAGGAGGCGAGGCGGGCGGGCAGCUAGCGACAGCGAGGCGCCUAAAUGCGAGACUUGUAAGGGAUUUACUUUUACAAAUCCCUGAAUUGCCCCUCACCGCUCACCCCCUUGGAAAAAAACCCUAAACGAGUGUCGCCUCUUACCACCCCUCGCCGUGCCUCUCUCCACCCUCACCCUCGGCUCGGCACUACCCACUCUCUCCCCUACUGCCCCUCCGCUUUGGGUAAUGGACGGACGAAACCUGACUUCGAACCCAAAACUCGGGUUCCCGGAGGCCAGGAUUCUGAACUCAUACUAAUGGGGGCUCGAGUUUCUGAAUUUCGGAUAUCCACAGAAUCGGGUAUCCACGCCCCAGCCUUACAGUUUACGAAACACAGUGUUGUUAUUGUGGCAGGGGACGAUAGUAGAUAGGAUAGACUAUAACAUCCAAAAUGUUGCAAGCACGGUUGAGGACGGCCUCAAACAGCUGGAAAAGGCAGAACGAACACAAAAGC
RNA transcript from Tarenaya hassleriana, 1798 nucleotides. It is a transcript of the gene named syntaxin-43, with no coding region annotated. The transcript has 8 exons. The record is from RefSeq and is a predicted model, not a curated record. NCBI's taxonomy places the organism in Eukaryota, Viridiplantae, Streptophyta, Magnoliopsida, Brassicales, Cleomaceae.